AGUAGAGGCAGUUGUUUCAUCUUGUUUUAAAAAAGAUGGAUGGUUAUUUUGGCCAACUUGUGUUCUUGCAAUGAAAGCUACCUAUAAUAAUUUUCCAAUCGUUGAUUCCUGCAACAAUCUUAGACUUAAAAGAGUUAAAGUAACUGGAGGUCAUUAAAUUUUACAGUAGUUAUUGCUAUUUCAAUUGUUUUGUAUGAAUAAAAAAACUAUUAUAGCUUUAUAUUAACGUUGAAGAAUAAACUAUUUGAUUUUUAUUUUGGAAUAAGUAAUAUUUUAAAUCUGUUUAUGGCAUUAUUACUGCCUAGAUAUAUAUUGUAAUCUGUUUACACUUAUUCUACAUUUUUAUUUUUAUAUAAUUUUGUUUAUAUUUAUUUUACUAAAUAAUUACUAAUAGAUAAAAAAGUAUGUGCAGGAUUUAAUUUCACGACUAAAGAGGACUCCAAAGAAGAAUUAAAGUUUUGGUGGAUCAAAGAUUGAGGAAUGAUUUGGUUUUAACUGGUUUGCAUCUUAUGAAUGAAGUACAUAAUUCUUUAUCUCAAUGAUAUCCUGGCUUAUCGAUUCGAUAUCCUGUAAAUCCACUCACACACAUAAAUUUUACUCACACAUAUAAAUCCUGUAAAUUCACUCACACACAUAAAUCUUAAAAAAG
This is a long non-coding RNA of Hydra vulgaris (swiftwater hydra), 649 nucleotides long. RefSeq lists it as uncharacterized. NCBI's taxonomy places the organism in Eukaryota, Metazoa, Cnidaria, Hydrozoa, Anthoathecata, Hydridae. The record is from RefSeq and is a predicted model, not a curated record.